Molecule: long non-coding RNA, 1941 nt
Filed under: Bemisia tabaci
Lineage: Eukaryota; Metazoa; Arthropoda; Insecta; Hemiptera; Aleyrodidae
Description: lncRNA ENSSSA1UGG011976
Source: RNAcentral
AUGGAGAUGGAGCAGAGUAAGAGGGUGGGCCAUACGAGGCGGAGGGUUUCUCGUAGUUGGUGCUUGGUUCGUAACCGGAAGGUGAGUAGGCGAAAGAGGGUGGGUGGUAGACACCUCCGUGUCCAGGUCCAAAAGUCACUGGACCGACUCUGGUUCCAUCAGCGUUGGUGUAGGUCUCACGGUUCGGUCCCGUGUAGGGCACGUAGUUGGGUGGCGGGAAGUUGUAGCCGGCAGGGGGGUAGGUGGCAGGGAUGCCGAUGGCGGGGUAGACGCCAAGGCUGGGGCCUGCGUAGGUUGCAGCGGGGUAGUUGGCUGUGGGCACGGCGGGCGUAGUUAGCGGCAGGAACAGCGACGGCUACGGGUGCUGGGUAUGGCGCUGCAAUAGCGUACGAGCCAUGGGUUGCCGCGGCGUAGGGGGCGGCGAUGGCGUAGGUGGCGGGUGCCGAGUAGUCCACCCCUGAGGCGUAGGUGGGUGCGUAGCUGCUCACGUAGCCCGGCGAGUAGGAGGGCGUUGGUCCAUUGUGCGCGUGCUGGCUAGGCGGCCCGUACACGCUGUAGGCGGUCGUGCGCUUUUCGUGGGUCUUCGAACUGGAGGAGGAUGCCGCCUCAGCUUUGUUGUCGCUGUUGGAGGAGGGCCGGUCGGCGAGGACUGACGUGGCCAGGAGUCCAAAUAUAACCUGGAAUCAGAAAACGAAAGGCAUGGAUUUAGAAAUCAUUGAUUAAAUUAGUCUUCCGGCAACAGCAUUCAAAGGAACAAACAUUGAUCUCUCUCGAAGCAAUUAAAGUAACAUUCACUGCAAAUAUUCAGAUUAAUGCAUGCGUUAUGAACACACCAUCUUACAAAUAAAACAUGCGCAGGAAAUUGUUUUAGGUGUUUUAAUGCCGAAAGCUUUCUAUUAUUAUGCAUUAUUGCCUAAGGAUAUUCGUUCGUUUAACAGAUAUUUUCCUUAGGAAGCUCCAUAUUGACAGUGAAACUGCAACUCGCUGAAACUCGGUUGCACGAUUUCGAAAUCUCCGCUCAUACUUCAUUUUUUUCAGGGAGAUCCAACCAACAUUAGGGCUUGAAAUGUUUAACAGAAUAUCCAUCGAUUAAUUAAAGAAUGAGAAUCACAGAAAUUUUCAAGAAGUGGCGUUAGGUAGUUUUCCGCGCAGAAAAUAAAGUAUGACAGAAAUGUGCAGCGCCGCAAACCGAGAUACGCAUUCCUGAAGGUUCACCAUCUAUAUAGUUUACAUUGCGAACAUUGAACACGGGAAAUUCAAGGAGAUCCCUAACAUAGCAUCAUAAAAAGUACAAUUUUUGCUGCUUUCAAGUAAAAGUCAGCAGUAUAUUCUUGAAAAUGGAGCCUUGCGAGGGAUUACAAUGAUUUGCAACCGAAUAAAGUAGAAAAAUACGGAAGAAAAUGUUCUUUGGUUUUGACAAACAUUAAGGGAGUGCAAACCUAUCUGAAAUUGUUUUAUUCGUGCUGAAUCAUAUUAAUCACUUUUAAAAAUCCGUUUCCAACGUUGGGCUGUUCAAUUAUACUCGAGAUUGGCAAAAAUCGUCUCUCCUGCAAUGAAGUAUAGGAUCUCCUUACACAUCCUUUAAACACGACGUGAACCGUAUGGAGCCUCCUAAGAAAAUAAGAUAUUUAAAGAAAAAUUGGACCGCGAUAAGCAGAAAAGAACCAAGCCAUAUCAGCUGUUGCCAAAUUUAAUUGGGCACUUUAAUUUUUUACAUGAAAACGGUUGUGCGGAUUAUCGUGCGUAUUUCAAUGAAUUUUCUGCAUCGUACAAAGCAAAUUUCUAACAAUUUUCAAAGGAAUCCGCACAGAAGAACGGUUCGCUCGUAAGAACAUCUACUGUCCGGUUAAAUUUGGCAACAGCUGAUGUGGCUUGAUUUCUUUAUGCUAAACGCGGUCCAGUCACACUGCUCAAAUUUGUUUGAGACUGGCAAAAAUCGUG